CACGUAGGGGCGAGCGUUGUCCGGAAUUACUGGGCGUAAAGGGCGCGCAGGCUGUUAUGCGAGUCUGCUGUGAAAUGUACCGGCUCAACCGGUGCCUUGCGGCGGAUACUGCAUAGCUGGAGUACUGGAGAGGGAAGUGGAAUUCCCGGUGUAGCGGUGAAAUGCGUAGAGAUUAGGAAGAACACCAGUGGCGAAGGCGAUUCUCUGGACUGUAACUGACGCUGAGGCUCGAAAGCGUGGGGAGCAAACAGGAUUAGAUA
This 260-nucleotide ribosomal RNA is filed under the name uncultured prokaryote. RNAcentral's name for it is "partial 16S ribosomal RNA". It matches the Rfam family "Bacterial small subunit ribosomal RNA", at positions 524 to 784 of the family's 1533-position model. The record is from RNAcentral.